This 45-nucleotide non-coding RNA is filed under the name Schistosoma mansoni. The record is from RNAcentral. Lineage: Eukaryota; Metazoa; Platyhelminthes; Trematoda; Strigeidida; Schistosomatidae.
AUCCAGCUGACGAGUCCUAAAUAGGAUGAAACGCCCGCCCUAGAU